AGAGUUUGAUCAUGGCUCAGAACGAACGCUGGCGGCAGGCUUCAUACAUGCAAGUCGCGCGAUUAAAGCUCCUUCGGGAGUGUAUAAAGCGGCGAACGGGUGAGUAACAGGUGGAUAAUCUGCCUUACGGUGGGGGACAACGGCUGGAAACGGCCGCUAAUACCGCAUACGAUUACUAGUUCUUCGGGACCGGUAAGGAAAGGGGCUUUCAAGCUCCGCCGUAAGAUGAGUCCGCCCCCCAUUAACUUGUUGGCGGGAUAAUAGCCCACCAAGGCGACGAUGGGUAGCCGAGCUGAGAGGUUGAUCGGCCACACUGGGACUGAGACACGGCCCAGACACCUACGGGUGGCAGCAGUAGGGAAUAUUGCGCAAUGGGCGAAAGCCUGACGCAGCCAUGCCGCGUGGAUGAUGAAGGCCUUCGGGUCGUAAAGUCCUUUUCUGAGGGAAGAACAUCCACGGGAGGAAAUGCCCGUGGCCUGACGGUACCUCAGGAAUAAGCAACGGCUAACUCCGUGCCAGCAGCCGCGGUAAUACGGAGGUUGCGAGCGUUGUUCGGAUUUACUGGGCGUAAAGGGAGCGCAGGCGGUUUGGUCAGUUCAAAGUGAAAGUCCGAGGCUCAACCUCGGAAGGGCUUUGGAUACUGCCAGACUUGAGUACGUGAGAGGAGAGCGGAAUUCCAGGUGUAGCGGUGAAAUGCGUAGAUAUCUGGAGGAACACCGGUGGCGAAAGCGGCUCUCUGGCGCGAUACUGACGCUGAGGCUCGAAAGCGUGGGGAGCGAACGGGAUUAGAUACCCCGGUAGUCCACGCCGUAAACGUUGUGCACUAGGUGUAGGAGGUAUCGACCCCUUCUGUGCCGCAGCUAACGCAUUAAGUGCACCGCCUGGGGAGUACGGUCGCAAGACUGAAACUCAAAUGAAUUGACGG
This 925-nucleotide ribosomal RNA is filed under the name uncultured bacterium. RNAcentral's name for it is "bacterial SSU rRNA". It matches the Rfam family "Bacterial small subunit ribosomal RNA", at positions 8 to 916 of the family's 1533-position model. The record is from RNAcentral.